CCUACGGAGGCAGCAGUGGGGAAUUUUGGACAAUGGGCGAAAGCCUGAUCCAGCAAUGCCGCGUGUGUGAAGAAGGCCUUCGGGUUGUAAAGCACUUUUGUCCGGAAGGAAAUCCUUGGCUCUAAUACAGUCGGGGGAUGACGGUACCGGAAGAGUAAGCACCGGCUAACUACGUGCCAGCAGCCGCGGUAAUACGUAGGGUGCGAGCGUUAAUCGGAAUUACUGGGCGUAAAGCGUGCGCAGGCGGUUUGCUAAGACCGAUGUGAAAUCCCCGGGCUCAACCUGGGAACUGCAUUGGUGACUGGCAGGCUAGAGUAUGGCAGAGGGGGGUAGAAUUCCACGUGUAGCAGUGAAAUGCGUAGAGAUGUGGAGGAAUACCGAUGGCGAAGGCAGCCCCCUGGGCCAAUACUGACGCUCAUGCACGAAAGCGUGGGGAGCAAACAGGAUUAGAUACCCUGGUAGUCCACGCCCUAAACGAUGUCAACUAGUUGUUGGGGAUUCAUUUCCUUAGUAACGUAGCUAACGCGUGAAGUUGACCGCCUGGGGAGUACGGUCGCAAGAUUAAAACUCAAAGGAAUUGACGGGGACCCGCACAAGCGGUGGAUGAUGUGGAUUAAUUCGAUGCAACGCGAAAAACCUUACCUACCCUUGACAUGGUCGGAAUCCCGCUGAGAGGUGGGAGUGCUCGAAAGAGAACCGGCGCACAGGUGCUGCAUGGCUGUCGUCAGCUCGUGUCGUGAGAUGUUGGGUUAAGUCCCGCAACGAGCGCAACCCUUGUCCUUAGUUGCUACGCAAGAGCACUCUAAGGAGACUGCCGGUGACAAACCGGAGGAAGGUGGGGAUGACGUCAAGUCCUCAUGGCCCUUAUGGGUAGGGCUUCACACGUCAUACAAUGGUCGGAACAGAGGGUUGCCAACCCGCGAGGGGGAGCUAAUCCCAGAAAACCGAUCGUAGUCCAGAUUGCACUCUGCAACUCGAGUGCAUGAAGCUGGAACCGCUAGUAAUCGCGGAUCAGCAUGCCGCGGUGAAUA
RNAcentral lists this ribosomal RNA (1031 nucleotides) under uncultured Burkholderia sp. RNAcentral describes it as "bacterial SSU rRNA". It matches the Rfam family "Bacterial small subunit ribosomal RNA", at positions 338 to 1368 of the family's 1533-position model. Lineage: Bacteria; Pseudomonadati; Pseudomonadota; Betaproteobacteria; Burkholderiales; Burkholderiaceae. The record is from RNAcentral.